GGGUGAGAAGGUUAAGUCACCAGGUGAGGAAUUUGACAAGGUGUUCACUGCUAUGUGUGAAGGGAAGCUCAUUGACCCUUUGUUGGAGUGCCUCAAAGAAUGGAAUGGUGCUCCUCUUCCCAUCUGCUAGAAGAACAAAUAUAAGCAUGAAUUACCCCGAUGUAAUCUUUUUGUAUUUUCCUGCAAACAAACUAUUAUUAUCUGAUGUAAAAGUGAACUGCUUUUUGGUUGUUAUUUCCUUUCUUUACCCAUUAAUGUGUAAACUAUCAGUGUAUCUUCUCUAAUUUUUGUUGGGAAUCCUUUUCUGUGUACUGGUUUCAAGACAAACGGAUGAAAUCUGUAUACGAAAGGAAAUAAUUAAGUCUUCUUGUUGCUUGAAAUUGGGGAUAAGUCAGAUUGAGGUUUCUGAGCGUACCGUAGAUUGAUGAACUGGAGCUCAGAAUUGUAGCUGGAAAAAAUGAAGUAACCAGCUCUGAUUCUGAGCGGAGGCCUUGAAUCUUCUGAAUACUUUUUAGAGCGGUUAAUUGAAAUCUGAGCGCAAUCGGAGAACAGAGAAGGGAUGAACCCUAAUUCCC
RNAcentral lists this long non-coding RNA (575 nucleotides) under Linum usitatissimum (flax). RNAcentral describes it as "long non-coding RNA (LUSI_LNC007986)". The record is from RNAcentral. Lineage: Eukaryota; Viridiplantae; Streptophyta; Magnoliopsida; Malpighiales; Linaceae.